RNAcentral lists this ribosomal RNA (567 nucleotides) under uncultured rumen bacterium. RNAcentral describes it as "bacterial SSU rRNA". It matches the Rfam family "Bacterial small subunit ribosomal RNA", at positions 1 to 571 of the family's 1533-position model. The record is from RNAcentral.
UAGAGUUUGAUCCUGGCUCAGAACGAACGCUGGCAGCGUGGAUUAGGCAUGCAAGUCGAACGGGAUCGGCUGGAUAGCAUAUUCGGCCGUGAGAGUGGCGGAUUGGGGAGGAGCACGUGAGCACCUGCCCUGGAGAUGUGGAAAACCUCUGGAAACGGAGGCUAAUACAGAAUGUGGCGUCCGGUGGCAUCAUCGGCGCGCCGAAGGGGGCCGCAAGGCUCCCGCUCCGGGAUGGGCUCGCGCACCAUCAGCUAGUUGGCGGGGUAACGGCCCACCAAGGCCUACGGUUAGCUGGUCUGAGAGGAUGACCAGCCCCACUGGGACUGAGAUACUGCCCAGACUCCUACGGGAGGCUGCAGUCGAGGAUCAUUCGCAAUGGGCGAAAGCCUGACGAUGCGGCGCUGCGUGGAGGAUGAAGCCUUCGGGUCGUAAACUCCUGUCAUGGGGAAGAGGCGAGGGGACCCACACGUCCCUUAGUUGACUGUACCCAGAGAGCGACGCUACUCUGUGCAGCAGCGCGGUAAUACGAGUCGCAGCGUUGUUCGAUUUACUGGGCGUAAAGGCACG